GGCAGGGCUGUGCCCGGGGAAAGCAGCGGCUGAUGGCAGGAAAAGUUUAGGGGAGGGGGAGCAGCAGGGAGGAGGAAAAGGAGGAGAAGGAGGAGAGGUUUCCUGCAGCCCCCUGUCCGGGCUGGCCCCGCGAUUCCCUGGGGGCUUCGUUCCCGCAGGGAUUGGAAUGGAGCAGCCGCGGGAUUGCCGACUCAGGAGAUCCGCCGGAGCUGUUUACAGCUCUGAGAGAGCCUGGAGGAGCUUUCAGGGCUGUGUGUAAUGCAAAACCCCCUCCUCGUCCCUCUGGCGGGAGAUUCCCACGCCUCCAGCCCCAUACGCUGCCUGUGCCCUGACGCAGAGGGUCGGGACGGGCCACUGCUGUCAUCUGCUGUGUCACAUAGCAGGACAGACAGCCAGGAGAGGCAGAGCAAAAAAAAAAAAACCAAAAAAAAACCCCAAACACCAAAAAAACCCCACCCCAAACCCGGGGGAUACUGCCGAGCAGGAAAUUCGAGAUAUCCAGUGGUCCAGCAAGGAGCUGGGCAGCCCCCUAAGGGAGCUAAAAGCCAGGAACCAGGUUGUGUCUUGGCCGUGCUCCAGGAUGGACUCAGGUCCAGACAGCACCAGGUUCCUGACCCCCUCACACCGUGGAGGUGAUGGGGAGGGUUGCACCGACCUGAAUCUGCCAGAGGAGAACACGGAGUGCACAGAAAAAAACAUCCAGCUGCCUGAGCAGAUGCAAGAGUUUGAUAUUUCACAUGGAAUUAAAAAGAUGCUGAAGGGGAUGGCUGAAAAUCGAGCAGGGAAGAGAGCAGGACACAGCUGGAG
Calypte anna (Anna's hummingbird) is the source of this 807-nucleotide long non-coding RNA. RefSeq lists it as uncharacterized. The record is from RefSeq and is a predicted model, not a curated record. The transcript has 3 exons. NCBI's taxonomy places the organism in Eukaryota, Metazoa, Chordata, Aves, Apodiformes, Trochilidae.